GGUCGAUCAUCAGGAGACAAACAAGGGGGCAAACCCUUGUUCGUUCAAUAUCAUCAAAAUUGAAAGGGAAAUUGGAGCUCAAACUCAUGAAUGAACAUGAAUUAACGAUCAUCUAAACAAGGGGAUCAUAAGUUUGACGCUUGACAAGCUUGGGAAAGAAGCAUGUCAAACGGAUCAAGUACCCGGGGAAAAAGCAUAAUUGGAUGCAAGGCAAGUAAAGUUUACAUCUUUAAAAUGGAUUAUUUAUUCAUAUAUUUGGUUAAGAACAAGGUGACUUAGUAUUUAAAAUAAGUCCUUGAAAUAUGACGUACCGACACGAAUUAAUACGGGUCGGAACAAGUAAGAAUGGUAAGAAACCAUAUUUGGUAGUAAAAAGGGUAAAAUGGUAAUUCGUCACGUGUUGACGAAUAAACAAUAAGUUUUGAAAAGUUACCUUAUGGUGUAAGCCAUAAAUAAGGGCUGUAAACAAACCGAACGAACACGAACAAGGCCUUGUUCGUGUUCAUUCAUUAAGGAAAUAAAUGUGUUCACGAACACAAAUGAACACAAAUAAAUUUGGCGAACGCGGCGAAGGAUAAAGAUAGAUGGCCCAGAGAGUAGCACUCGAACUUGAAUCCCUCAUUGUGGAACGAAGGUCGAUCGUAUUCGACGAUGUAA
This 657-nucleotide long non-coding RNA is filed under the name Helianthus annuus (common sunflower). RNAcentral's name for it is "hypothetical non coding rna". The record is from RNAcentral. Lineage: Eukaryota; Viridiplantae; Streptophyta; Magnoliopsida; Asterales; Asteraceae.